This 594-nucleotide ribosomal RNA is filed under the name Fusarium sporotrichioides. RNAcentral's name for it is "eukaryotic LSU rRNA". The stretch from base 225 to 378 matches the Rfam family "5.8S ribosomal RNA". Lineage: Eukaryota; Fungi; Ascomycota; Sordariomycetes; Hypocreales; Nectriaceae. The record is from RNAcentral.
UUUCCCUGGUCAUUCCAGAGGGAAGUAAAAGUCGUCAUCACGGUUCCGUUGGUGAACCAGCGGAGGGAUCAUUACCGAGUUUACAACUCCCAAACCCCUGUGAACAUACCUUUAUGUUGCCUCGGCGGAUCAGCCCGCGCCCCGUAAAACGGGACGGCCCGCCGCAGGAAACCCUAAACUCUGUUUUUAGUGGAACUUCUGAGUAUAAAAAACAAAUAAAUCAAAACUUUCAACAACGGAUCUCUUGGUUCUGGCAUCGAUGAAGAACGCAGCAAAAUGCGAUAAGUAAUGUGAAUUGCAGAAUUCAGUGAAUCAUCGAAUCUUUGAACGCACAUUGCGCCCGCCAGUAUUCUGGCGGGCAUGCCUGUUCGAGCGUCAUUUCAACCCUCAAGCCCAGCUUGGUGUUGGGAUCUGUGUGCAAACACAGUCCCCAAAUUGAUUGGCGGUCACGUCGAGCUUCCAUAGCGUAGUAAUUUACACAUCGUUACUGGUAAUCGUCGCGGCCACGCCGUUAAACCCCAACUUCUGAAUGUUGACCUCGGAUCAGGUAGGAAUACCAGCUGAACUUAAGCAUAUCAAUAAGCGAAGGAAAAA